Long non-coding RNA from Lingula anatina, 753 nucleotides. Lineage: Eukaryota; Metazoa; Brachiopoda; Lingulata; Lingulida; Lingulidae. The record is from RefSeq and is a predicted model, not a curated record.
GCUGAUGAAGUGUGGUCGACGGUUUGGAGGAACUUAGAGCUUACGGGGACUUUUGCGACAAGCUGCAAUUAUUGACCAAGAGGAACCUCUUUUCAAUAAGGAUGCAGGUCUACGCUUCCGUUGUGGUGGUGUUGAUGGCGGCGGCACAGCUGAUUGGAGCGGUGGAGGAGAGAAGAUGGCUGCGCUGUUUUGCUCCCUAUAACUCCGCUGUCUGUCCCGGGGGCAGGGGCUACGACUGCUACGGUGUUGCCUGUGAUCCGGCACGUUGCAGCUGCUUCGACUCUGCCUCGGCUCAGGCCGCCGCCCCUUACUCCGCUCCUGGUACGUACCCAUACAACUGGUACAGCUACUACCGACACGCUAACUACGCAUACCCGCCCUACUACUUCAGACGUGGAAGCAAAGGAAAGGGAUCGGGUUCUUCAGAUUCCAAUUACCUGUACCGUCUCUACCUGUGGAACUAUCAGAACAGUCAAUCCCGCUCUGGAUAGAGGGAGCCACAGCUUGAAACGGAAAGGAUGCUUCUUCAUGAGUGAAGAAAAGGAUUCACGUUUAAAAAAUCUUCGCCCGUUAAGAAAGUGCCAAACUCAGUCAACCGAAGGAAUAAGCUGAUUGUUCUAAUAAGAAUAUUUUAAAGUUUAACACAAGCCUGUAGGAAGGUUGCAAGGGUUGCCAUGACUACGUUGUAUACCUCAAUUUUAACCUCACGGGCAACAGUGUUAAGGCUUUCAAAAUCUGACUGUUUGGGAAUAU